AGAUGUCCUCACCAUAAGCAGGGGGAGCAUGGCGGAGCUCUUCGAUCCAUCGGUUCAUCUCCUGGAGCCUUCGAUCCAGGAGGUCCUCUCGACUGCGAGUCUCGAGGGUCUUCUAAUAGAGUGGAGGUAGGGAUCCUUCGAGAGUAAAAUCACGAUCAGACUGAGAGCUCUCCGCCCUCGGAUUCUCCUUUUCGGGGAAGACAGGACGACUGGCCUAAGUGGCCCACCCUACUGCCAGAUCUUGGAACUCCGACGAUGCUCUUUCCAACUGCACUGACACCUGCAGCUGUUGCUAUUGCUGCUGCAUGGCCUGCACCACUUCGGUGAGGCCUCUGACCUGCUGAACCAACUGGUCAAACUACUCUGUAUCGACCGCCAUUAUCGGAGGAGGAGGAGCCUGGGAAAUUGGAGGCGAGGUCGGAGCUUGAGAUCUGGCUGUGGAGGCC
RNAcentral lists this long non-coding RNA (446 nucleotides) under Elaeis guineensis (African oil palm). RNAcentral's name for it is "long non-coding RNA (EGUI_LNC066403)". The record is from RNAcentral. Lineage: Eukaryota; Viridiplantae; Streptophyta; Magnoliopsida; Arecales; Arecaceae.